GACGAACGCUGGCGGCGUGGAUUAGGCAUGCAAGUCGAACGGUAUCAUCCUUUCGGGGGUGAGAGAGUGGCGAACUGGUGAGUAACACGUAGGUUAUCUACCCUCAAGACGGGGACAACCCAGGGAAACUUGGGCUAAUACCGGAUGUGAGCAACUUUUAGUUGUUUGAAAGGUGGCGUAAGCUGUCGCUUGGGGAUGAGCCUGCGUCCUAUUAGUUAGUUGGUGAGGUAACGGCUCACCUAGGCAAUGAUAGGUAGGCGGCCUUAACGGGUGGUCGCCCACACUGGGAUUGAGAUACGGCCCAGACUCCUACGGGAGGCAGCAGUCGAGAAUAGUCUACAAUGGUCGGAAGACUGAUAGUGCGAUGCCGCGUGAACGAUGAAUCCCGUUCGGGUAGUAAAGUUUCUUUUAUAUGUGAGCAGUGCUUCUUAUAUUAACAGUAGUGGGGAGAGAGAUAUUAGCAUAUGAAUAAGCAACGGCUAACUCCGUGCCAGCAGCCGACGGUAAAACG
This 511-nucleotide ribosomal RNA is filed under the name uncultured bacterium. RNAcentral's name for it is "bacterial SSU rRNA". It matches the Rfam family "Bacterial small subunit ribosomal RNA", at positions 28 to 527 of the family's 1533-position model. The record is from RNAcentral.